UGCAAUUGAAGGCAUACUAAUAAACCAUUGAGUAAGUAUAUACGAUAACUCUGAAUCCUGUCCCACAUCCCAAUUCUGACUCUUUCUUCAUUACUGUCUUGAACACACAGAACUGCCAGCUCCCAGAGGUCAGUGCUCCAUGGAGAGCAGAGUGCCUGGCCAGAGAUUAUCUGGGCUCUGUUUGGGAUUUGUUGCUGUAGAAAUAGCAGAGAUAUCAACAAACUCAUGUCCCUGGGGCUGGACAGGCUGAUGGGCCCAUCUGCAGGGCAGGAACAGCCAGAAGAGAAAAUUGAGCAAGAAUCUAAUGAGGAUCUAGAAGAGAACCAGGAAACAGAGGACCUAAAAACAACAUGAAUUUGGAAAGCUGAAGGUCCCUGAUCUAUAUUUGACACAAUACCACGUCUUCUACUGCAAGACUUCAUAAACAGAACAAUACUGAUGAAUAUAAGUAAACAAGCUGUCCAUGACUGGUUUUAGGUCAAAGCUUAACCUCAAACUUGCUCAUCUUAAAACAGAAAUGAUGUGGCUUACAGGAGGACAAGGGGAUUCAAUAAUGAAAUACAAGAAGAUGCAGAAUAGCACAGCUACCAGGUGCUAA
This 598-nucleotide long non-coding RNA is filed under the name Macaca mulatta (Rhesus monkey). RNAcentral describes it as "lncRNA (ENSMMUG00000060172.1)". Lineage: Eukaryota; Metazoa; Chordata; Mammalia; Primates; Cercopithecidae. The record is from RNAcentral.